RNAcentral lists this long non-coding RNA (242 nucleotides) under Panax ginseng (ginseng). RNAcentral's name for it is "long non-coding RNA (PGIN_LNC004048)". Lineage: Eukaryota; Viridiplantae; Streptophyta; Magnoliopsida; Apiales; Araliaceae. The record is from RNAcentral.
CUGUCCAUCUUUGCACGUAAGCCAAAGAUGACUUUCAUCACAAUAUAAGCAUGAGGAUGAUGACAAUGAUAUAAGCAUUAAUCAAACGAAAUCGAGAAUAAAUAUUAAAGACUUUAAAUUUAUCCAAAGUUUAAAAAUAUCCAAAUUGUCAACAUGAUACUACUUUGUGGAGUAAAAUUCAAGAAUAAUAUUCAUGUACCAAAAAUAAUUUGGACAGAAAAGAAAUAUAUUUUUCGGGUGAA